Long non-coding RNA from Monodelphis domestica (gray short-tailed opossum), 2115 nucleotides. RefSeq lists it as uncharacterized. The record is from RefSeq and is a predicted model, not a curated record. Lineage: Eukaryota; Metazoa; Chordata; Mammalia; Didelphimorphia; Didelphidae.
UAAUUUAGUAAAUUUCAUACUAGUAAUAUGAGUGACUUAAGCCAAGUUGUAAAAAGGAAUAGAUUUCACUCUGCAUCCUCUAAAUUCCAUCUGUUCAACUGGCUGCUCUACAGCUAAGUGAAUUAAUUUUAAACUUGGAUGGAUUGGGCCAUAUGAUAUUAGAGUUUAGGUAAUAGAACGGACUUCAGAGGACAUCUAGUCCAAUAGUCCAAUACUUUGGUUUUACAGCUGAGGAAACUGAGACCUAACAUUUCACUGUCAUAUAGUGGAGAGAACAGUGAUUGAAGUCAAAUCCUACCUCUGAUACAUAUACUGUGUGAUGCUGGACGAAUAACUUCUUUGGGCCUCAGUUUCUUCACCUGUAAAAUGAGAAAGUUGGACUAAAUUUUAAAAAUUCAUAUUUUCUUAUUAAUUUUUAUUUGGUUGUUUAGAGUGGCAAAAUAAGUAGAAAAAAUAUUCUCUACAAGUUCUGUUUCCAGGCCCCAAGCAAAUGAUGAAAACAACCAUUUGUUCUUAAAAUUCUCAAGCACAAAAUAAUUAAACUUAAUUAAAAGCAUUUAUUAAAUACCUGCUAUAUGCAAGGAAGGGACUAUAUGAGGCCUUGGAAAUAGAGACAAAAAAAGAAUAAAAGAAAUUGCCUCUGCCCUCAAAAAGCUUAGAUUCGAUUGGAAUUCAGACUGUUCCUACUAGAGUUCCAUAUUAGGAAGUAUAAAUCCUUGGUUUCUCUUCAUAUUUUUAGGAUUUGGUUUGCUUCCAUAACUACAUCAAGAAAGUAAUCCAACUAAUGCUACUGAAAUAAAAAUAUUUGGUAUUCUGUUAUCCUUAGAAUCAAACCGAUGUUCUGGCAGCUCAUGCAGAUUGUCUGCAUAGUUAUGCUAAAAAUUGCUAUGUAUUGUCCCUACUUUAAGUAUGGUAAGUAGAGUAAGAUUUAAGCUACAAAAGAAUCAAAAUCCUAUGUGAGUCUAUCAGUAGCACAUUUAACAUUUAUUGCAACUUCCUCUUUAAGUUUGGACUUUGUUUAUUUUGGAUGGGGGUUAUAUUGUGACCUAGGAUGUUGUUAACAGACACUAUUUGCUUUUUUCAUAGCUCUCCAAGACAUUUCAAGAAGCAUGAAAAGUCUCACUUCAUUUUCAUGAAAGAAUUAGUGUUGAUUUGAAGAUUGGAUCUUCACAACCAUAUUCACUGUACUUGCCACCUUAUUAUACAAAGAUCCUGCUAUAAACUGAGAUUCUUCCUUUGACUACACAAGCAACAGCUGUCUAGCUUCCUGCGCAGUACUGGAUCUAAUGCCUCUACAGAAAUCUAGGUCAAAACACUUGGAAUGCAUGAAUAUCAAACAGAGUUUUCAAAACAGCAAAUGAAUACAUCUUUAACUGGUGACAUUUUCCCGUAGCAUAUGGCUGCAAGCUCAGGGGACUGCAUGCUUUUUUGAUGAAUAUGUUCCGUCAAAAACUAAGGGAUGGCAGUGGGCUUAUGUCACCUUCUGUUUUGCCUUAUGAAAUGAUAAUGCAAACGCAUAGCUAGAUAUCAUGAUCACAAGAAUUUUACCUUCAGUCUUAUUCUAAAGUUACAUUGCACCUCCUGGUUGAAUUGCUAAGGCUUUGGUCAUGUUCUGGUAUACAGGAUGCCUGUCAACGAUGCAGUUGGAGAAAAAAAAAGUUGCCUUUGUAUGACUAGUGGCAAGUAAAAUAACUGACCUAGAAAACAGAAGACAGAAAUUUUGGGAGAGAUUCUUCCACAUCAGACAUAUGCAGUUAAAAAGACUUGAUGUGAUGCCACUUGGGAAAUUCAUUCUUAAUUCAUUGAUUCAUAUGAGUGAGGGAAACAAAGUAAAAGAGAACAAAUCAAUAGAACUGUGCUAUGGUACCAACUGUGCCACUAACUAACUAGCACUAUAACGUUGGGCAAGUCCCCUGAGCAUGUUUUCUAAUCUGGAAAAUGAAGGGGACAAGAUCUAGAUCUUGAAGACCAAACUUUAGAGCGAAAUUGGGUAGAACUUGCUCAUUUUAAUAGGAAAAAAGAAACAAAACCCUGGCAUCCAGAAUGGAUGAAUUUUCUGCUCAAGGUUAUACAGCUGGUUCAAUUAAAAAGAAAUAUAGCCAAGAUUAGAAGUGA